AAAGUCGUAACAAGGUUUCCGUAGGUGAACCUGCGGAAGGAUCAUUAAUGAGUUAGGGUCUUCUGGCCCGACCUCCUCACCCGAUGUUUACUUACCAUUGUUGCUUCGGCGGGCCCGUCUCAUGACCGCCGGGGGACCCAGAGUCGGCGACUGAAAGGUCUGUGACUAUCAAAGGUCCUCUGGCCAGUGCCCGCCGGUGGCCAAACUUGAUCAAUUCUGAAAAUAUGUCAUGUCUGAGUACCAAUCUUAAUUAAAAAUAAAACUUUCAACAACGGAUCUCUUGGUUCUG
Molecule: unclassified non-coding RNA, 289 nt
Filed under: Ascomycota sp.
Lineage: Eukaryota; Fungi; Ascomycota
Description: partial contains small subunit ribosomal RNA, internal transcribed spacer 1, and 5.8S ribosomal RNA
Rfam family: Eukaryotic small subunit ribosomal RNA (bases 1-47)
Source: RNAcentral